GAUUGAAGCAAUUGUGACUGAGCGGCGGACGGGUGAGUAACGCGUGGGUAACCUGCCUCAUACAGGGGGAUAACAGUUGGAAGCGGCUGCUAAUACCGCAUAAGCGCACAGUACCGCAUGGUACCGUGUGAAAAACUCCGGUGGUAUGAGAUGGACCCGCGUCUGAUUAGCUAGUUGGUGGGGUAACGGCCUACCAAGGCGACGAUCAGUAGCCGACCUGAGAGGGUGACCGGCCACAUUGGGACUGAGACACGGCCCAAACUCCUACGGGAGGCAGCAGUGGGGAAUAUUGCACAAUGGGGGAAACCCUGAUGCAGCGACGCCGCGUGAGCGAUGAAGUAUUUCGGUAUGUAAAGCUCUAUCAGCAGGGAAGAAAAUGACGGUACCUGACUAAGAAGCCCCGGCUAACUACGUGCCAGCAGCCGCGGUAAUACGUAGGGGGCAAGCGUUAUCCGGAUUUACUGGGUGUAAAGGGAGCGUAGACGGCAUGGCAAGCCAGAUGUGAAAGCCCGGGGCUCAACCCCGGGACUGCAGUUGAAACUGGCAGUCUUGAGUACAGUAGAGGUGGGCGGAAUUCGUGGUGUAGCGGUGAAAUGCUUAGAUAUCACGAAGAACUCC
This 618-nucleotide ribosomal RNA is filed under the name uncultured Lachnospiraceae bacterium. RNAcentral describes it as "bacterial SSU rRNA". It matches the Rfam family "Bacterial small subunit ribosomal RNA", at positions 75 to 710 of the family's 1533-position model. The record is from RNAcentral. Lineage: Bacteria; Bacillati; Bacillota; Clostridia; Lachnospirales; Lachnospiraceae.